This 159-nucleotide ribosomal RNA is filed under the name Tarenaya hassleriana. RNAcentral describes it as "5.8S ribosomal RNA". It matches the Rfam family "5.8S ribosomal RNA". From Rfam's summary of the family: 5.8S ribosomal RNA (5.8S rRNA) is a component of the large subunit of the eukaryotic ribosome. Lineage: Eukaryota; Viridiplantae; Streptophyta; Magnoliopsida; Brassicales; Cleomaceae. RNAcentral also lists the same sequence under 56 other names. The record is from RNAcentral.
AAAACUUUUAACAACGGAUCUCUUGGUUCUGGCAUCGAUGAAGAACGCAGCGAAAUGCGAUAAGUAAUGUGAAUUGCAGAAUUCAGUGAAUCAUCGAAUCUUUGAACGCACAUUGCGCCCCCUGGUAUUCCGGGGGGCAUGCCUGUUCGAGCGUCAUUU